This 2871-nucleotide long non-coding RNA is filed under the name Anneissia japonica. RNAcentral describes it as "uncharacterized LOC117108168". The record is from RNAcentral. Lineage: Eukaryota; Metazoa; Echinodermata; Crinoidea; Comatulida; Comatulidae.
AUUCUAAGUACUGUUUCCUUUGUUGUACAUUGUAAUCAAAGUUGUUUUUUUGUAAAUCAGAUCUCCAAAAUUUUGGCAAUUUGUGCGUAAAGAUUUUGAAUGCUAAAUACAUCACUGUUGUAUGUAUGCAAAAGUAUUCUGUUUACUGUACCUGGAUUAUGUAAUACAUUUCUUAUAGCUUAAAAUGUGCAUUAUAUUAUUAUCAUUACAGCUGUUGAAGAUGACGCAGUACAAGUAUGUGCAAAUGUGUAUUCAUCCCCUGCCAUCCCCCGGGACUACUUUUAGUCGUACAAUGAGCAAAGACCAAUAAAUUCUGAUUAAGAGCAUCUUUGUCGAACAAGGUACCUUAAUUCUGAGAGAUGAAAAACAAUGGCGGCUCACGGUGUAGUCAAGAAAUGGUGAUAUAUGGACAAGAUACUAGGCCAGGUCGAUCGUGCACAUCGUAAAUCCUGUUUGUAGUCAACUCAAAUUAUUUGGUUGGUCAUGAAAAUUAAAUGUUAUUGUGAACAUUAAGAAAAGGUCAAAAGGACACUUUUUAACCGACCUAUUUCAAAACCACAUUGCAAAGCAAUUAUCGCUGGAACCAUGCUAUCAACACAGUAGUUCAGAACAUAGAUUGAGCAAUGGCCUGUGGAGAUGAUAGUUUGUUUAACGGACAUUGCUGCAAGUGCCGUCACAUUGCUGGCGGUUCGCAUUCAACGCUGCUAGUAUCAAAAAGCCAUUGCAGUGCUUGGCAUUGAGCGCAGCUAAUAUGGAAUAACUAUACUCUCGGAGUCAACGCAGAUCCUAAAUCUCCAUGCGAGUAUCUAAAAAAUUGACACAGUUUCCCGCACUUCCACCAUCAAGCAAAAAUCUAACAAGGAAAGUGGCCCAUCUCCUGCUGAAACAUGUUUGUUUCAUUGGAGCCUCAGCGAUGGCUAUGGGUUGUUAAAAACGCAGACAUACAUGCCUGACAUGGGCAUCAUUUAUUGUGUUUUUAGUGUUUUAAAGUUUACUGUUUGUAUUUAAUUGUUAUGUUCUGAAUAUAUGUUAAGAACUUUAUAAACAGAUGCUCUUGAUGUAGCUUCUCGCAACUUUGGAUGCCUGUGGAUGACGUCAUGCGUGGCAAAAAGAGAAUGGAGUGAAGAUAUUUAGGGUGCCUACUUCGCAUCCUGUAAAGAUUCUUUUUCUUGCAACUGAAAAUAAUUUUCCACGGCUACCAUGCCUCGAUUGCAACUUACUUAAAAAGCAUCACAUUUUUCCAUUCUGUGAGAUACCGACUUGUUAUUGGAUGUCAGAGAAAUAGAGAAAUUAUGUUGUCAUUGGAUCACAUUACUUGAGGUUCCAAUAAUAUAGCUGUCGUGGGAUAACGACUAGAUUACUUGUGGUUCAUCAGAGGUUUUGCCUUCUGUGCGGAUACAAGAGUAUUGGAGUGGUGUCACAUUUCUCGCAAUUCCCGGAGGAGAUGUGCCAUCGCAUUGCUUACGAUUCCCUAAGAAUUACUCACAUGGAAUGAUAACUGCAGCAUAUUACUCGCGGUUCAUAGAGCGCUGGUAGAACUGUAGGUCUGCUGUACAAAUACCUAGACAGAUGUCCAUUGAUUCUUAGUACAACAGGCAGUUGUAACGUCCGCUAUGUUACUCGCAGUUCACAGAGCACAGAAGAUGCAGGACAGCUAUCGCAUUGACAUCAAAUCAAUAUAACUUCUUUCCAGCGCACUGGGUUUCUAUGACGAUGUUUACAUGCGACCAGAUUACAAUGGUGAUGGAAUUAUUUUCUUAAUUAAUUUGUUACAAAUCAUAAAAUCAAUUCGUUGAAGAAACAUUUCGGGGUUGUAAUCAUUAUUGCAUUGAUUGCAAUGAAAUUGAUACUUGAAUGGCCGGUUGCUGGAGGGCGGUAGCAAGAGAACAACAAGCCGGAGGGUCUAAAUAUAAUUAAACAGUCUUGCAAAGAUCAUUAUGAAGGUUUUGUUUUAUUGAUGCAUUUAUAAUAAUACUAAUAUUAAUAAUCAUAAUAAUAAUAGUAAUUGUAAUAACAUUUAUGACAAUAGUAUAGUAAAAAUAAAUAUGAUAGGCCAAUUAAUGCUACUGAAAUAACUUCAACAAAAAAAUAUGCUUGUGUUUCAAGUAGUUCAGAAAAUACAGUGGCAUACAAAGCUGUGAUAUAGAAUAUGAAGAAAAUAAAUUUAAGUUUUUGAGAAUAGGUAAAUCAAUUAACUAUUUUUUUUUUACUUCAUUGUAUUAAUCAAAAAAUGUUUUUAAAAAAAAUAUGGCACAAAAAUAUGCAGUAAAGUAAAAAUAGAGAAGGGACGGAACUACUAUCUCAGGAUCCAUUAGCAGGGAAACGCCCUGUAAGAACUAAACUACUUUACACAGAACAAAAAAGAACAUUUACUUGUCAAAUUUCUUUAUGAGAUCCAAGAAUUGUCAAGUAUUUAUUCAGUUAUUGAAUUUUAUUAACAAUAGCAUUUUGUUUUCUAAUGCAUCUGUUUUUUCCGAUGAUAUUCAUAAAAUCUGUUUUUGUCCUUGGGACCUGGUUCAACCUCUGUCAAACACCAAGAUUUUUUAUUUUUAAGUUACAUAGUGGCAGAUGUUAUUGGUCCAUCACUACUUGUACAGAUUUCUACAGCUUCUGUACACCUGCAACAGCUUUUCUCACAGAAUGCUUGUGAACAAUUUACAAAUUACGAGAGUGAUCUGACAUCCUAUGGUGUCAUUUGCAGUUUUUUUUUUCUUUUUUGUUUAAUAUUUGUAAUUGUUUAUUUGUAAUCUCUUAGAUCAAAGUUUAUUUCUAUUUGUAUUCUAUAUACAUAUUUACAUACAUAUUUAUGCAAAUAACAAUAAAUGGAUUUAAUAUAAUAUGAACAAAUGAAUAAACAUGUGAUCGAAGAAA